GAAAACAAGUGGAACAUGCUACAUUGCCUGGGUGCGAUAAAUGGAAAACACAUGAAUGUUGAGUGCCCGGCAAACUCUAGAAGCAGAGACUGAAACUACAAAAAUUCGUUCAGCAAGUCGAUGCUCGCAUUGAGCGACGCCAACUACAGCUUCCUGUAUGCUGAAAUCGGCCACCAUGGAAGCGAAUCAGAUGGUGGCAUCUUUAGCAGCAGCAACCUACAAACGAAAAUUAUUGACGGCACUCUUGGUGUUCCUGCAUGCGCAAGUCUUGGAAUGAUAGGCGACAUUCCUUAUUUUUUCGUCGGCGAUGAAGCCUUCUUUUUGAAGACGUACAUGAUGAGGCCGUAUUAAAAAAAAACUCUUCACCCUCUUCUCUUAGGGAGCUCAUCUAUGGCAACAGUGCAACCCUGCAGUGCAGACAGCAGUGCAAGCACACAAUUUGAGGGGUUGCAGCAGAAAAGAAUAUUUAAUUACAGAUUAAGCAGGGCUCGCAGAGUUGUAGAAAAUGCCUUCGGUAUAUUGGCGCAGAGAUGGCGGAUCCUUCGCCGGCCUUUCAAGGCGAAGGAAGACAACAUCAGGAGGAUAGUGUCCGCAUGUGUAGUACUGCACAACUUCCUUUUGAAGGAAUCACCAGACUCAAAAGCCAUGUACUGUCCACUGGGUACCACCGACACUGAGGAAUGGCAAGGCAAGGUGAUUGAUGGGAACUGGAGGGCCGACAGUGCUAACAAUGGAGCUCUGGUCACCUUGCACGGCACAGGUUACCACUCGACCAGGUAAUGUGGGCAUAGCUAUGAAACUACUGUUGCACGCACAUGCACAGAUGCAGCGCACAUAUUUAAAGCAAAGUUUCUUUUGCCUAGCCUGCUACAAUUUCAUGUUGGUCAGUUUGUAUGUCUGUCUAUCAGUAUUGUGCCAUGUGUUUGCGCUGACACGCAAACAUAUGUGUACACGCUCUGGUAUUUGUUUACAUUGCUUGUUGAUCUUCAGUAUACUGCAAUGAAACACCUCCGAUCCACGUAAUUCAACAAUGUAUUUAAAAGCACUACAUACAGUGUGGUAUACUUACUAUGCGUUACGUGUAGUGCACGAGUACUACAUAUAAUGUUGUAGCUUCCCCAUUCUUGUGCCACAAAGUAUGUGCUGCUGUCACACAGUCGGUGUAAAACAUUGAUGUGUUUUCAUGUACCACACUUUUGCCUGCUUGCUCCUCUCUUCACAAUUCCUCCCCUCAAGAUCACUGGUCUGAUGUCUCACAGUAUGAACUCGCUUCCACUCCUGUUUGCAUAUAGACCUAGGUUGUGCAGUGCACAAACUUUGCAUGGUACUUUGCUGCUCAUAAAUAUGAUGCGGUAAUAAUGAGGAAAGUGUGGUGAAUCAACAUUGCAUGAGGUUACACAUCACAUUGGACUAAAGAAGUUCGCAUAGAACAAAGUCAUAGUAUUUAAGCGCAUCACAAAUUCUUUACUUCACAAAGAUUCCAAGGUGCAGUAAAGCUCUUGUUUGGCCUGGUUGGUGCAUUCUUGGACACGUAACAGGUCAGCACAAAAAAACAAGGAACUUGAAAGAAACAUGCACAGGAUGGGCUUUGCACCUGUUAUGAAGCCGAACAAUAUUAUGAAGCCGAAUAGAGCUACAUUGACGCACUGCGUCACGCUAAACACUCCUUUUAUCACAAUAAUCUACCAAACCUAUUAAUCAAUAACCAGAGGCAAUU
RNAcentral lists this long non-coding RNA (1717 nucleotides) under Dermacentor andersoni. RNAcentral describes it as "uncharacterized LOC126541348". Lineage: Eukaryota; Metazoa; Arthropoda; Arachnida; Ixodida; Ixodidae. The record is from RNAcentral.